Erinaceus europaeus (western European hedgehog) is the source of this 105-nucleotide small nuclear RNA. The record is from Ensembl. Lineage: Eukaryota; Metazoa; Chordata; Mammalia; Eulipotyphla; Erinaceidae.
GUGCUCGCUUCGGCAGCACAUGUACUAAAAUUGGAACGAUACAGAGAAGAAUAGUAUGGACCCUGCACAAGGAUGACACAAAUUCGGGAAGCAUUCAUAAAAAAA